CUAAGUACCCCGAGGAAAAGAAAUCAACCGAGAUUCCGAAAGUAGCGGCGAGCGAAAUUGGACUAGCCCUUAAGCUUUACACGCGUUAGACGAACGGUCUGGAAAGUCCGACGAUACAGGGUGAUAGUCCCGUAGUUGACGACGUGUGUUCAGUGAAAUCGAGUAGGGCGGGACACGUGAUAUCCUGUCUGAAUAUGGGGGGACCAUCCUCCAAGGCUAAAUACUACUGACUGACCGAUAGUGAACAGGUACCG
RNAcentral lists this ribosomal RNA (254 nucleotides) under Vibrio parahaemolyticus. RNAcentral's name for it is "partial 23S ribosomal RNA". It matches the Rfam family "Bacterial large subunit ribosomal RNA", at positions 202 to 503 of the family's 2925-position model. The record is from RNAcentral. Lineage: Bacteria; Pseudomonadati; Pseudomonadota; Gammaproteobacteria; Vibrionales; Vibrionaceae.